Long non-coding RNA from Orcinus orca (killer whale), 4538 nucleotides. RefSeq lists it as uncharacterized. The transcript has 2 exons. Lineage: Eukaryota; Metazoa; Chordata; Mammalia; Artiodactyla; Delphinidae. The record is from RefSeq and is a predicted model, not a curated record.
GAUCCUCCCCUGAAUCUAGAGCCACCCGAAGUAUCCUUGUCCUGGUGAGCACUUCUGUGUCUUUGUACACUCUCUCUUCAAUCUUUCACAUUUCUUUCGCUCUUUUUAACAAUCGCAGCAGGUGGCUGGUGAACUCUGCUGCACUCAUUACUGCAUGUUUCCCAACCGUAAGCCCCUAUAUUCUCAUGAGUCAUGACCUCAGAGUAUCCAGGCUCUUCUUUUCUUGUAUAAAGAUUAAAUAAUCACCUAAUCUUAUGAGACAUAUGUAAAUUGCUUGUAUUUGCACUUUGUUCAGCUGUUUAUUCAUCCCUCUUUGAGUCCUAAGUACAAUUAUUAAACAGUCACUUACAAGGGUGGUAAACAAAACAGUUUAGUUUGUGCUCCUAAAGAAGCAAUACAAUUUUAAAUACAUUAUUGUGCAAUUAUCAUAUAAAUACUUAUGUAAAUGAAAUUUUAUUAAUGCUUGUAAGAGAGCUUCAGAGUCUAGGCAGUAUUAAGCAGGAGUUGAGACUUACGGAGAAGUGUUUGUGUAUGUAACUAUCAAUCUGGAAUAAUAAUUUUCCCAGAAAUAAAGUAUGCAUGGAACUGUAGGAAACGCUACAUGACAUAAACAGCAUCCAAGAUGGUCAUUCAAGAAAAAAAAUCCCAGAAAAGAGUGAACAGUGUGGUGUUAGGCUGAAGGGUAUUUCAGAUUCAGAGAGUAAAGAUUUGAGGGGUCCUAAAUAUGAACGUCUUCUAUUUAAUCUUUGAAGAGAUUGCACUCAUUUGAAAUGUGAUGUUACGAAUGCACAUUAGCACAUUUAAACAUUUUCAUUUGGAAGUGGCCAGUAAGAUCUAGAGUGGCUGAAAGAGAGCACAAAACAUGUUUUUGCUAAUUUUUUAAAGACAUCAGGUGAGCGUUGAAAAUUUUAAAAUACGUGAUUUCUGGGGUAAAAUUGCAUGUAAUUUGAGAUCUGUAAAAAGGCAUUUUUUUCCUAUAAUAUUCAGAAGCUAAUUUGGCAUUUUUGCAAGUAAAAGAAUUCAAGAUGCAAAUCCCAAGGCUGCCAGUAAGAGUAGCUCAUAGGGCUUCCCUGGUGGCGCAGUGGUUGAGAGUCCGCCUGCCGAUGCUAGGGGACGUGGGUUCGUGCCCCAGUCUGGGAGGAUCCCACAUGCCGCGGAGCGGCUGGCCCCGUGAGCCAUGGCCGCUGAGCCUGCGCGUCUGGAGCCUGUGCUCCGCAACGGAGAGGCCACAACAAUGAGAGGCCCGCGUACAGCAAAAAAAAAAAAAAAAAAAAAAUCUUUAAACUUAAAAAAAAAAAUACAUUGGUAUGGGUGCAUGCACACUUAAUAGGAUAUUUCAAAAUAUUUAAUGCUCUCAAAUAAUAUUUAGAAAAUGGACAUGUUUCCCUUGUUUUAUUUUUAUCUCAAUUAAUGCACUUUAUAGAUGUGAUAAAAUAUAAGUAUUAUGUAAGGAGUGGGGAGAGAACAAACUAUAGCCAUACAAUUCUUAGAACAUAGAAACACACAUACAAUAGGGCAAAAACACCAAAAAAAAUCAUCUGUUAAUUCAGUUAUAAUGUGCAUUAUUACUUAAUAUUGAUCAUUACUUCCUUUGUGUAUCAUCAAAUACACAUUUAUGACAUCAUUUCCAAAGGCUUUUGUCCCUUUCCAACAUACAUUUUAAUCCAUCCUCCAUUGCUGCCUUUGGUUUAUUUUCAAAGAAAGCUAUGAUGUAAACACCUUCAUGCACCUCCUCUCUGAAGACGGAGGCUCUCUCACCUACAGAUAGGAGGUCGCUGCAAAUCAUUUUGUGAAUGCAUGUGGCCCCAGGGAGAGGAGGGGGUGAAAGGACCUAAGGACUCAGGGUAACUUUUGAGAGAAUUCUGAGAGCAAAGUCUCACACAAUCCCAAUGUCAUUGUGUGAUUCCUGUCAAUCACCUCCCCUUCCCCAAGGGCAUAUGAACUAGGCUAUGACAGGGCCAUGCCCAUAACAAAAAAGGCCCCAUCCCCAGGAUAUCAGGCUGACAGAGCCAGUGCUUCUAGAAAUUACAGCCCCAAAUUGCUCACCCUACUCAGAGGUCUCAGGUGUGCUGUGUGUGAUAUCUCUAUAGCUCAGUGCUAUGGAAAACAGGUCUUGUAGGUAGUAACAUCAGCACCAACAGAGAACUUGUUAAACAUGUCAUUUCAUGGGUUCACCUCAAACCUGCUGAUUCAUAACUUCUUAGAUUGGGGAGCUGAGCCCCAAAAGAUUUGCAUUCACUUUAAAGCUUCAGAGAAAACGUUUAGCUAAGUGAUUCUUAUCUGGUUUCCCAGCGGAAUCACAUGACCAAUAUCAAUAAAUCACAUCACCUGUGCCCUCCCCACAGCGUCUGGCUAUUGGUGCUGUGGGAGCGUCAGCGUUGUUUGUAUUACGUGCUCCAGGUGAUUCUAAGGUGACGCCUGGGUGAAAUACGUCGGCUCCCGGCUACAUUUGUGAGAGUUCAGACAAAGCUUCAGUCCUGGGAGAGGCAGCGGGGUCGCCUGUACGUGGGGUUGGAAGGGGAAUGUCAGUGCAGCCCACAUAUUCUGUGUUAGAAGAAUUUUUGGUUGUCUGUAUGAGGAGAGAACACGUGUAGACAACAAAGAAAAACCUCAGUUUGUUUUCCUUGUAGGAGCUGAUUGUUCCCCAGUCUCUCCCGAGACAAAGGACAGGAGAGGUUGGCUUUUUCAGCAUUUCAAGGUCCUUCUGCCUGUGGCUGUGCUGGGAGCAGGUGAAGGAGCUGUGCUGACACCGUUGACGGCAUAUUCUCAAGAUGCUGGUGUGAUUCCUCAACAUAAUAUUGAUGAGAAAAGGACCCAGCACAGGAGGAGAAAGGAGGAAACGGCAGUUUCUCAGGUCCUCUUUUUGGAGUAAAAGAAGAAUCCCUGAGAUGUGAAGGGAAUGGAGACAGUAGCUGUAUAACCAGGUACGUGCGAAUGGAUGAAGCAGAUGACACAGGUGAGAGGUCCAAAGAUCGCAGAGGAAGUCAUAUCUUAUAAUAUGGCUUGGGAAGGCAUGCUUCAAUGGAAAUGAUUUUUGCGAAGCCUAGAUUUAUUUCUGUUGCUGUCAUAGAGGGGCAUCUCCUGCCCCCAUCUUAGGCUCUUAAAUCCUCCAUGUAUUCGUCUUCAGCCCCAGUGAUUAUCCCUCACCUUCACAGUGAGAGCCAAAAUCCUCCUCUUGGCCUGUGAUGACCCUCAUGACCUGACUGCUGUUCGGUUGCUUUGGAGGUUCUAGGGAAAACUGUUUACAUUUCUGAGUAACUCUAUGUUAAGUUCUGUUUCUGCCUCAAGUCAGAACUGUGUGAGGAGAGUCAUGGAGAUAUUGGGAUUAGGUGACAAAAUUCUUGGAAUACCCAAUCCAAUGGAAACUUCAAACAUGACCCUACAAAGUUCAGACUCAGUCAUUUCAUCAGAGCAUCAAGCAUCUCCCCAGAAUUAGAGAAUGUAAUCCUCCAUUUUACUUCCAAUGAACUAACAUGAGACAUUUUUACUUUCUAUGAACUAACGUGAGACAUUUUAAGUGUACUUGCCCAAUCCAUCAAUGGUAGAAUAACUUAAUAUGUUUAUUUAUCUCAUAGAAGUCUUGAAUAUGUUCAUUCCAUAGCAGCGCUUGGAACAUAGGCUACCAUAUUUUAAAGUCCCAAUUGUUGUUUAAUUUCCUAAUAACUGUAAGUUUAUAAGUCUGCCUUAUUUAAUAUGGCGUUAUGCUUGCUGCGUCCUGUAUUUUUUCACUUUCUCGUUAGUUCUGUGUCAAAAUCAUACAUGAUUUUAGAGUCAAAAGAUCUAGUAUAACAUGCUCAGGUGAAAACGUCUUUGGUAAGAAGGGCCUUAGAUAAUUAGAAGGCACCCUGUAUUUGUGAAAAUCUGUGGUUCAUUUCUCCAACCAAAAAGUAGUCAUCUUAUUCAUUUACUUUCCUCAGUGUGUAUCUGAAUCAUGGUAUGAUGUGAUCACAACUAUUAUUUUAUAUAUCGAUGAUUCUCUGCAGAUUUUACAACUUUCAUGUUCUUUUAUUUUUAAAUAAGGUUUUAUUUUUCUUCUAAAGUAUGGGUUACAGCCUUGAUAAUUUGUGUAUGUAUAGCAGUAAUAAUAACAUGACAAAUUUCUCUGCUGUUAUUUAAAUAAUUCAUUCAAAUUUUCCAUUAGAGAUUUUUAAAUGAUUCAUUGUAAUGCAUUUUCUGUGAAAUUCUCCUGCCUUGCAACACAUGCCAGUGAUUCAGAAUGGUUGCUUUAUGCGUGCAUAAACCAUUUCGAAAUUAUAGUAUUUAGAAGGAUUAUAUUUUAAUAGUAUAUACAUGAUUUUUCAGAAAUUGAGAGUAAAAUUUUCUCUUAUUCUUGUUUAGCAAUUCCAUAACUAUUUGCUUUUUUUUUAAAUGAUAGGUUCUCCCAAGUUAGUUAAUUGUAUUUUUGUCUUUACCUAUAUUUCAUGAAUGUACAUGGCAAUUUUCAACUCAGUACACUUAAGACAGUGUGGUGUUGCAUUCAAAUUUGAAUGUCCCAUAUGUCCACUGCCAAUAAAAUUAUGCAUGUCUUUGUCUUUUAA